Ovis aries (sheep) is the source of this 72-nucleotide transfer RNA. It matches the Rfam family "tRNA". From Rfam's summary of the family: Transfer RNA (tRNA) molecules are approximately 80 nucleotides in length. Their secondary structure includes four short double-helical elements and three loops (D, anti-codon, and T loops). The record is from Rfam. NCBI's taxonomy places the organism in Eukaryota, Metazoa, Chordata, Mammalia, Artiodactyla, Bovidae.
UCCCUAGAGGCUCAGUCGGUAAAGCAUUUGCUUGCAAUGCAGGAGACCUGGGUUCGAUCCCUGGGUCGGGAA